RNAcentral lists this ribosomal RNA (329 nucleotides) under uncultured eukaryote. RNAcentral's name for it is "partial 18S ribosomal RNA". It matches the Rfam family "Eukaryotic small subunit ribosomal RNA", at positions 1470 to 1796 of the family's 1831-position model. The record is from RNAcentral.
CCCUUAGAUGCCCUGGGCCGCACGCGCGCUACACUGAGUGUCUGAGAUACGAGUCUGCCUGGUCCGGCAAGGUCUAGGUAAUCGCUAAAAGACACAUCAUGCUUGGGAUAGAUUAUUGCAAAUAUUAAUCUUGAACGAGGAAUUCCUAGUAAGCGCAAGUCAACAGCUUGCGUUGAUUACGUCCCUGCCCUUUGUACACACCGCCCGUCGCUACUACUGAUUGGAUGUUUAAGCGAGGUUCUCGAACUGCUAGCGACUUAGCUUCGGUGAGGUCGCAGUGUGGGAAGUGAACCUAGCUUUGGUGUCUAGAGGAAGUAAAAGUCGUAACA